Molecule: ribosomal RNA, 542 nt
Filed under: uncultured fungus
Lineage: Eukaryota; Fungi
Description: eukaryotic LSU rRNA
Rfam family: 5.8S ribosomal RNA (bases 171-324)
Source: RNAcentral
UCCGUAGGUGAACCUGCGGAAGGAUCAUUACCUAGAGUUGUAGGCUUUGCCUGCUAUCUCUUACCCAUGUCUUUUAAGUACCUUACGUUUCCUCGGCGGGUCCGCCCGCCGAUUGGACAAUUUAAACCAUUUGCAGUUGCAAUCAGCGUCUGAAAAAACUUAAUAGUUACAACUUUCAACAACGGAUCUCUUGGUUCUGGCAUCGAUGAAGAACGCAGCGAAAUGCGAUAAGUAGUGUGAAUUGCAGAAUUCAGUGAAUCAUCGAAUCUUUGAACGCACAUUGCGCCCCUUGGUAUUCCAUGGGGCAUGCCUGUUCGAGCGUCAUUUGUACCUUCAAGCUCUGCUUGGUGUUGGGUGUUUGUCUCGCCUCUGCGUGUAGACUCGCCUCAAAACAAUUGGCAGCCGGCGUAUUGAUUUCGGAGCGCAGUACAUCUCGCGCUUUGCACUCAUAACGACGACGUCCAAAAGUACAUUUUUACACUCUUGACCUCGGAUCAGGUAGGGAUACCCGCUGAACUUAAGCAUAUCAAUAAGCGGAGGAA